Macadamia integrifolia is the source of this 747-nucleotide long non-coding RNA. RefSeq lists it as uncharacterized. The transcript is spliced from 2 exons. The record is from RefSeq and is a predicted model, not a curated record. Lineage: Eukaryota; Viridiplantae; Streptophyta; Magnoliopsida; Proteales; Proteaceae.
GAAAAGCAGGAAGGCCAAAGACAACAAUGUCAAAACUCAAAGCAGCUUGGCUAACUACAAAUAGUUAUAUGUAUCAAGUUCAUGCCAAACAUGUUCUAGUACAUUUUGCAAGAUUUCAGAUGCAUCAUUCAAAGUAUCUUUCGCUGAUCAAAUUUCAAGUAAUGGAACCAGUAUUUCAUAAUCAUUGAGGCUUAAGGCUCAAGAAGCAACUCAGGGCAGGCAUAGCCAAAAAGCCCCAAUGAACAAGUUUCAAGCACAGUACAUUCAUGAGAUGGAGAAAUGCAAUCGCUACGAAUGGCUUUCUUACCAUACUCUUAUCCCUUCAUCUGCAUUUGUACAUGUGGGUUCUGAAAUUUUAGCUUUUGAUUUUCACACUUAUCAAAGCCCAUGUGUAAGUUUGCAGGUAGGAAGAGUUAUAGCCUAACUCUUUCGAAGUACUAGCAUCCCUCUAGGUAAAAUUGCUCAGACCCCAGCAAAUUCUAAAUUUCAAAAGUUCAGAGCUGAGAAUAUGAAAUGGAAUAGGGGGAAAAGAAAAGAAAGGUGAGAAAACAGAAGCCCACCAGUGCAGGACAAAAUCUUAUAACAUGGGAGUAAAUUCGGACAUUUUCACCUCAACUCCCUAUUUGACUCAAGGAUGGGCUCCCUUUCUCUUUUUCCUAUCUUUUUUUCCGGUGCAUGUUUUUUGCCACCGCUUAUUAGUUAUUGCCUUCAUCAUAUAGCAAAAGAAGAAUAAAUAUAUCUGAGUUC